Pongo pygmaeus (Bornean orangutan) is the source of this 5610-nucleotide RNA transcript. RefSeq lists it as uncharacterized. The transcript has 4 exons. Lineage: Eukaryota; Metazoa; Chordata; Mammalia; Primates; Hominidae. The record is from RefSeq and is a predicted model, not a curated record.
CCCCCAGCCCCGCUUUCUGAGCCUUACCUGCUACCAUCACUUGGCCACCCACACAGGCUUUCGAACGGCACAAAGCGCUCCACCGAGGCCUCCGAAAUCACCCCAACCCGGGCCGGGGUCCUGGAAGCCAUUCAUCCCCCCACUCAGGUUUCCGCCUUACAGAUCUGUGCCAGGUCCUGUGCUUAAGCUUUACAGGCAUCAUCGUAGCAGGUAUUAUAUUUCCUCAUUUAUAGAGAAGGAAACAAGCUCAGAGCCACGAAGCCACCAGCCACAGUCACAACGUGCCGAAGGGACAAAGCAUAGAUUGGGACCCAGGAGAUUACAAGAACCAAGGAUGAUUGUAACAUCUCCUGGUACCCCAGAUGGGACCCUCAUUUUAGGUCCCCACAGGAGUUAGCAAGACUUCCUGGAGGACAGAGGCAACUGACCAGGUGGUAACAAAGGUGGCCCCUCUGGACCAUUGCUUUGGUGUUGGUGCUUUGGAGAGUCAAGUCUGGACCCUAGUCCUGAAGAGUUCCAUCACCAUCACCACUGUGGAGCCUUGGGUCACCCUCAAUAUGGCAGGUAGGAAAACUAAAUUCCUUAUGGAUACCAGAGUCCCCUACUCUGUCCUGACCCAUCCUGAUGGAUCUCUGUUCAGUGCCAGUUGUACAGUGACGGGAACAGAUGGUCAACCCAAGGUAAGACAGUUUACCUUUCCUUUGACUUGUAAAAUUGGAUCUAAGGCUAUCACUUAUUCCUUCCUAUAUGUCCCAGAGUGUCCCCUUCCUUUAAUGGUUCAUGACUUAUUAUCUAAGUUGGGAGCCUCAGUUUCCCUCCAGGGUAAUGCCAUACAAGUCUCAGUGCCCCCUGAGAAAGGAAUCCAUUUACUGGCCCUUUUGGCUCCCCAAGAUCAGAAGCUACCCCCAGUCCUAGAAAAGAUAUUGAUUUGAGUGGAAAAGUCUGUAUGGGAUACCAACAUUUCAGGACAGGUCAUCAAUGAGGACAAUAUUAAAAUAAAGCUUAAGCCAGGCCUACCCUACCCAUGCAAGCCAAAAUACCAUUUGAGGCCAGAAGCCCUACAAGGGAGAUGGCCCCUCCUGGAAACAUUGAUACAGAACAGACUAAUUCAGCAGUCCCCUUGUAAUACUCCAGUCCUGCCUGUGAAGAAACCAAAUGGGGAAUACCACUUUGUUCCACACUUUAGAGUAGUGAAUGACUCAGUUGUUCCAUGAUCCUUCAGUCCCUAAUUCAUACACACUCCGCUCUCAAAUCCCUGGGUGCACACAGUUUUACACUGUGCUGGAUCUAAAGGAUGUUUUCUUUAAUAUAUGCUGCAUCCUGACUCCACCUACAUUUUUGCCUUUAAAUGGAAGGAUCCAGAGACUCAGGAAACUCUCCAGUGUACUUGGACAGUGCUACCCCAGGGGUUUCCAGAUAGCCUCCACCUCUCUGGGCAAGCCCUGGAAGUCCUAAUUCAGAAGUUAGGGCCUGUCCAAAGGCCAGUGACUUAUUUUUUAAACCAACUGGACCCAGUAGCCCAGGGGUGGCCUGGCUGUCUUAGGGCAAUGGCGGCCACCAGCCUCCUGGUCAGGGAGGUCUCCAAACUCAUGCUAGGCCAAUCCCUUGAGGUUUAUACUCCUUACCAGGUCCAGAAUGUGUUGGAAAUCAAAGGGAGCCACUGGCUAAGUCGGGGAAGGUUAACUCAAAAUCAAGCCCCACUGUUAGACACCCCAGACUUGACCUUAAAGAUAUAUGAGUCCUUGAAUCCUGCCACCCUCCUUCCCUUGCCCACCUUGGGGACACUGGAACACACUUAUGUGGAAACUUUAGAGCAGAUCUAUUCUAGUUGGAUAGAUUUACGGGAGACGCCUUGAGAGAAUCCAGAUGAAGAAUGGUUUACAGAUGGGAGUUGUUUUGUAGAAAAUGGAGCCUGCAGGCCAGGCAUGGUGGCACGCCACCACACCCAGCUAAUUUUUUGUAUUUUAGCAGAGACAGGCUUCACCAUGUUGCCCAGGCUGGUCUCGAAGUCCUGGGCUCGUGAUGCACCUGUAAUCCCAGCUACUCAGGAGGCUGAGACAGCAGAAUCGCUUGAACCUGGGAGGCGGAGGUUGCAGUGAGCCAAGAUCACGCCAUUGCACUCCAGCCUGGGUGACAGAGCGAGACUCCAUCUAAAAAAACAAACAAACAAACAAAUAAAAUGGAGCCAGGAAGGCAAAACAUGCAAUUGUCAGCCUACGCUGGACCAGAGAGGCAAAAUUAGUUCCCCCAAGCACUUCAACUCAGGAAGCAGAGCUCCAAGCCUUAGUUAAGGGCUCUUCAGCUUGAAGAAGGGAAGAGACUUAAUAUAUAUACUGAUUCUAAGUAUGGAUUCCUAAUGCUCCAUACUCAUGCAGCUGUCUGGAAAGAGGAGAAUGCUUACUGCCAGGAGCACCCAGACAAAACACAAUGAAGUGAUUUUAUUCCUCCUUGAGGCAGUUCAUCUCUAUAUUAGUCCGCUCUUACACUGCUAUAAAGACAUACCUGAGACUGGGUAAUUUAUAAACAAAGGAAGUUUAAUUGACUCACAGUUCUGCAUGGCUGGGAGGCUUCAGGAAACUUACAAUCAUGGGGGAAGGUGAAGGGGAAGCAAGGCACAUCUUGCAUGGCAGCAGGAGAGUGAGUGAAGGAAGCCACACACUUUUAAGCUAUCAGAUCUCAUGAGAACUCUCGUACUACUGUGAAAACAGCAUUGGGGAAACUGCCCCUGUGAUCCAAUCACCUCCCACCAAGUACUUCCCUUGACAUGAGGAGAUUACAAUUCGAGAUGAGAUUUGGGUGGGGACACAGAGCCAAACCAUAUUAAGCGCCCUGCCCAAAUAGCUGUUAUGUCCUGUAAAGGGCAACAAAAAGACAAUUCUUUAAUCAGCCAAGGAAACAACCAGGCUGAUAGAGCUGCCAAACAGGCAGCUGGGCCGGGCACGGUAGCUCAUGCCUGUAAUCCCAGCACUUUGGGAGGCUGAGGCAGGCGGAUCACGAGGUCAAGAGAUCAAGACCAUCCUGGCUAACAUGGUGAAACCCCAUCUCUACUGAAAAUACAAAAAAUUAGCUGGGCGUGGUGGUGGGCGCCUGUAGUCCCAGCUACUUGGGAGGCUGAGGCAGGAGAAUGGCGUGAACCCGGGAGGUGGAGCUUACAGUGAGCUGAAACCGCACCUCAGCACUCCAGCCUAGGGGACAGAGCAAAGAGCGAGAUUCCGUCUCAAAAAAAAAAAAAAAGAAAUUGGCAGUGGUUGGCCGGGAGCGAUGGCUCACGCCUGUAAUCCCAGCACUUUGGGAGGCCAAGGCGGGAGGAUCACCUAAGGUCAGGAGUUCGAGACCAGCCUGGCCAACAUGGUGAAACCCUGUCUCUACUAAAAUACACAAAAAUUAGCUGGGCAUGGUGGUGCAUGCCUGUAGUCCCAGCUACUUGGGAGGCUGAGGCAGGAGAACCGCUUGAACCCAGGAGGGAGAGAUUGCCAUGAGCUGAGAUGGCACCACUGCACUCCAGCCUGGGCAACAGAGUGAGACUCUGUCAAAAAAAAAAACUGAGCAGAUGAAGGAGGGUAUAAUUUAAAUGGUCAGAGUGGAUAGAAGAUCAGCAACAAUGCCUCUUCCUACCAGAAGCUGACCAAUGGAAAGUCAUCAAAAGACUUCAUGAGGAAACUCAUUAUGAGAGAGACUCACUAUGGAAUUUAAUCCAAAAUCUCCUAGUGAGCAAGGCUUUAAAAGCUACAGCAUAACAAGCAUGGUGGUUCACACCAGUAAUCCCAGCAUUUGAGGAGACUGAGGCAGGAGGAUUGCUUGAGCCCAGGAGAUCAGGACCAGCCUGGGCAACAUGAUAAGACUGUGUCUCUACAAAAGCAUUUUUAAAAAUUAUCUGGGCAUGGUGGAAUGCAUCUGUGGUCCUACUUGGGAAGCUGAGGUGGGAGGAUUGCUCGAGCCCAGGAGUUUGAGGCAGCAGUGAGUCAAGAUUGCACAAUUGCACUCCAGCCUGGGUGACAAAGCGAGACCUUGUCAAAAAAAUAAAAAAAUAAAAAAGCCACGGUGGGCCAGGUGCAGUGGCUCACACCUGUAAGCCCAGCAGUUUGGGAGGCUGAGGUGGGUGGAUUACCUGAGGUCAGGAGUUCGAGACCAACCUGGCCAACUUAGUGAAACCCCGUCUCUACUAAAAAUACAAAAAUUAGCUAGGUGUGGUGGCGCAUGCCUGUAAUCCCAGCUACUCAGGAGGCUGAAGCAGGAGAAUUGCUUGAACCUGAGAGGCAGAGGCCACAGUGAGCAAAGAUCAUGCCACUGCACUCCAGCCUGGGUGACAGAGUAAGACUCAGUCUCAAAAAAUAAAAAUAAAAAAGCCACAGUGGACUCUGUAACUCAAGCAUGUGAAAUUUGUCUUAGAAAUAAUUCCUGAGCCCAUGCACUGGCUCUGCCCCAGUGCAGCAUAAGAAGACCUAUCCUGGAGAAGACUGGCGAAUUACACAGAUACCCCUAAAGGGGAAUUCAAAUAUAUUCUGAUUUUUAUAGACACUUUCACAGGCUGGGUGGAAGCUUUCCCCACACAAACAGAAAAAGCAAUUGAAGUUUGUAAAUGACAGCUUAAAGCCCGGGUGCGGUGGCUCACGCCUGUAAUCCCAGCAGUUUGGGAGGCUGAGGUGGGCGGAUCACCUGAGGCCAGGAGUUCGAGACCAGCCUGACCAACAUGGUGAAACCCCAUCUCUACUAAAAAUACAAAAAUUAAGGCCAGGCGCGGUGGCUCACACCUGUAAUCCCUGCACUUUGGGAGGCUGAGGCAGGCGGAUCACAAUCAGGAGAUCGAGACCAUCCUGGUUAACACGGUGAAACCCCAUCUCUACUAAAAAUACAAAAAAUUAGCCAGGCAUGGUGGCAGGCACCUGUAGUCCCAACUACUUGGGAGGCUGAGGCAGGAGAAUGGCAUGAACCUGGGAGACGGAGCUUGCAGGGAGCUGAGAUCGCACCACUGCACUCCAGCCUGGGUGACAGAGUGAGACUCCGUCUCAAAAAAAAAAAAUACAAAAAUUAGCUGGGCCUGGUGGCACAGGGCACCUGUAAUCCCAGCUACUAGGAAGGCUGAGGCAGGAGAAUCACCUGAACCCUGGAGGUGGAGGUUGCAGUGAACUGAGAUCAUGCCACUGCAUUCCAACCUGGGUGACAAGAACGAGACUCUGUCAAAAAAAAAAUUAAAAACCAAACCAAACCAGACAAACAAAAAGUAAAUGGCUGCUUAAACAAGGAAUUCCUAGGUUUGGGCUUCCAGCCUCCCUACAAAGUGACAACAGGCUGUCUUUUAUCACCUAGGUCACCAAAGGGCUGUCUAGCAGUCUUAGCAUCCAAUACAAACUUCACUCUGCCUGGCAUCCUCAAUCUUCUGGGAAAGUUGAGAGAAUGAAUCAAAUCUUGGCUACACUAUGCCAAGAAGCCCAGAAAUCAUGGAUUAAGUGCCUCCCUAUUGCCUUACUAAGAAUAAGAUCCACCCCAAAGGGGAACUUAAAGCUCAGCCCUUUUAAAAUGACCUAUUGGAGCAGUCCUUUCUCAAGACAAACUUUCUAAUAGAUGAAGACUUAAAUCAGGCUUUAAAAUACAUUAUCAACUUGGGGAAAA